UAUACAAAAUAAACCUCCCCUUAGGUACUAAGGAACUUUCACUACAAGAAAAAGGUCUAUUUAAGACCAACUUUUAGGGAAGAGUAAGUAUUUUGGUCUUUAAAAGUAUACUUAUUAGGACGAGAUUAAAUUUCGAUCCUUAAUACUAUAUUUUAUUGUGAAGGUACAAAAUCCGGUCCCUAAUGUUUUUUUCAACUUGUCUCAAAUCUUUAAUUAGGAGCUUUUCAGUGGGAAAACUAGAGCCAAAAUAAAUGUUAAAAUUUUAAUAAUUUUUAUGUUAUUUCACUAAACUACUAAUAAGCGCCAAAAUUUUAAUAAUCAAUUACUUUCUCAAAAUAAAAAAGUACUCUUCGAAUAAAUAUUCUCGCCUCUAGCACGAACAAUUUUGCAUAUAUACAGACGAAGCAAUCUGGUCGCAAAUCGCCUCUACCAUCGCCGUUGACAAGAUUCAUUUUCAAUCAAUAUACUCAUCAAUUUUUCUGUGAGGGGGUAGAUUUUCCAAUUGCUUCUUCAAUUGUGCGGGUUAUUACAGCUAAUAAUUUGCCCUAAUCGCUAUCUCUAUUGCAAAUUUGAGGUAUGAUAUCUUUUCUAUUUGAUAGAUCUCUUAGAUCGGUUCAGCACAAAAUGCAUCAAAGAAUUGCGUGUUUAUGAGCUAAAUAAUCUAUUUUUAGGUGUUUCUCAUAAAGUUUUUUUUUUUUCCUCAGUUUUUGGGGUGGAGUUGUUUGAUACAAUGCAUUCAAGAAUUACAUGUUUUUGAGCUAAAGAAUACAUUUUUAGGUGUUUCUCAUUAAUGUUUUUUCCUUAGUUUGUGAGGUUGAGUUGUUUGACAGAAUGCAUUCAAGAUUUACAUGUUUGUGAGCCAAAGAAUUCAUUUUUUAUGUGGUUUUCAUUACUGUUUUUCCUCAGUUUGUGGGGUUAAAGGGGUGCCUUACAAUAACUGGUAAAGUUGUUGUCACGUGACCAGAAGGUCAUGAGUUCAAGCUAUGGAAAUAGCCUGUAGCGGAAGUACAAUAUACCUUUGUGGUCCCCAGACACAGCGGGAACUUUAGUGCACCUGCUGCCCUUUUUUAAUUUUUUUUGUUUUAAUAAUCUCAGUUCUUUGUUUGAGUUGUUUGACAGAAUGCAUCCAAGAAUUGCAUGUUUAUGACCGGCUAAAGAAUCCAUAUUUAGUGCUUUGAUUCAGAGGAAAGAAUAGGGUGCUGAAAAUAAGCUCGGUGUAUGGAGAGGAGGCAUCUCAAUAUGGUGAUAAUCACGAAACAGUUGCACAUGAUGACAAAGAGAAGAUUUUUGUUACAGUUACAUUAAGUCCAUUGAAUGAGAUGGAAGUUACAAAUAAUGACCUCUUGGAUUGGGAAUGCAUCAAUAACGCCAUAAUUUUAUAUAAAAAUUCUAUAUCAGAAUUUUCAUCUACUCCAAAUGCUUAUGCGUAUGAAAGAGUAUUUGGGUAUGAAUCCACCACAAGGGAGGUGUAUGAGGAGGCCACCAAAGGAGUCGUGCUUUCAGCUCUUAGUGCGAGUAUCUUCGCAUUUGGGCAGAUAAGUAGUGGAAAAAUGUAUACUAUGUCUGGAAUCACCGAAUACACUUUAAUUGAUAUAUAUGAUCAUAUAAGCAGGAAUGAAGACCGACAAUUUAAACUUAAAUUCUCUGCCAUGGAGAUAGACAAUGAUGUUGUUAGAGACCUUCUAACACCAGAUGAUACUCCACUUAGACUCCUUGAUGAUCCUGAGCUCUUGUUCCGCCUCCUGAUUACCGAAAGGCAGAGUAUAAGGAGGAUAGAGUUCUUGUUGAUCUUAAAGUUCCUGUAAGCAUAUCUUAUCCCGUGAGCUUCAAGUACACAUGUACCAAUAUGGUUGUGUCCUCUUUACUUGUCCCAUAUGAUUCUAUCCUUAUGCAUCUUUGAUUGCAUUGCAGCUUUAUAGAUUACAGAGCUUACCGUUAAUAAAUCUAACUCGUUUCUCUAUAAAUAAGCUCUAGAAAACUUAGAAACAGACCCUGGGCUCCAUCCUUUACUUCCUUAUUUCACAUAUUUUGUUGCUGAUUAGGUAUGUAUAAGUCACUUCAAGUUCAGUAAUGUUACAUUUAUAGGUGAGAGAUAAAUAAUGUAAUGAAAUUCUAUUUUAUGUCAGGUUGCACGGAAUUUGAAUAAUUUUGAUCUCUUUUUUGCUUUGGUGAGGCUGGUCUGGAGCCUUCUUCAGAAUUUUCAUUUACAUUUUGAACCAUACCUGCACCAGUCGAUGUCGUCUGUGAUGACAUGUCUUGUGGAGAAAAGGUUUGGCAAUAAAUUCUCUGACAACCAUUGGGCACUAAGGGCCUUCACAGAAAAGUUGGUUGCUUUAGGCGGCAGUAGAAUGAUGUCAAACAUGAAAAAAGAUAAAAAUUGAUGUCACGUGUUCGAAUUCUUAGUAUGUUAUUGUGUUCAGGUUUUUCUGUUCCUCGUUUGGGGUUUCGGUUGUUGCAAGAUAAGCUGCGAUUCAGUUAUGAGAAUGAGCGUAAAUCUUUGCGAUCUGUUCUUAUAUGAGGCUUUUCGUUAUUAAAAUCAUCUUCUUCUUGUGGUGCUCUUAUAUGCUGCUUUUGCCAUGGCUCUGAUUUUUCCAUUUGAUAUAUUUUAUUUAUCAUCUUGCUACUUUUUUUAAGGACUGUUUGGCGGAUAGUUUUCCCAUUCCAGAUUUUUGAAGAUUGAAGUUACAAGAGAAGAUGCAAGUUUAGAUGAUGCACAAGCUUAUUAUUAUUUUUCUAAGAGCAUUAUGUAAAGCUUGACAUCAUAUUCUAGCUCGGGAUGUUAAUUUGUUAAGUUCUUUUGUUUAAAGAAUAUUGAAACUAUUGACAAUAUUCUAGCUCGGGAUGUUGAUUGGUUAAGUUUUUUAUUGUUUAGCAAAUAUUGAAAUUAUAUUUAUUAUACUUUG
Molecule: RNA transcript, 2903 nt
Organism: Capsicum annuum
Lineage: Eukaryota; Viridiplantae; Streptophyta; Magnoliopsida; Solanales; Solanaceae
Gene name: kinesin-like protein KIN-7E
Exons: 11
Source: RefSeq, a predicted model, not a curated record